AGGACGAACGCUGGCGGCGUGCUUAACACAUGCAAGUGGUGCGACGAACCAGGGCUUGCCCUGGGGCCAAGCCGCGAACGGGUGAGUAGCACGUGAGCAACCUGCCCCCUGGCUCUGGGAUAACCCUCGGAAACGGGGGCUAAUACCGGAUAUGACUUGGCCUCGCAUGGGGUUGGGUGGAAAGUUUUUCGGUCUGGGAUGGGCUCGCGGCCUAUCAGCUUGUUGGUGGGGUGAUGGCCUACCAAGGCGACGACGGGU
This 258-nucleotide ribosomal RNA is filed under the name uncultured bacterium. RNAcentral's name for it is "partial small subunit ribosomal RNA". It matches the Rfam family "Bacterial small subunit ribosomal RNA", at positions 26 to 284 of the family's 1533-position model. The record is from RNAcentral.